This 117-nucleotide small RNA is filed under the name Macaca mulatta (Rhesus monkey). RNAcentral's name for it is "Metazoan signal recognition particle RNA (ENSMMUG00000050240.1)". Lineage: Eukaryota; Metazoa; Chordata; Mammalia; Primates; Cercopithecidae. The record is from Rfam by way of RNAcentral.
GCCGGGCGUGGUGGCCACGCCUGUAAUCCCAGCACUUUGGGAGGCCGAGGCGGGUGGAUCACCUGAGGCCAGGAGCUUUGCGGCCAGCCUGGCUUACAUGGUGAAACCCCAUCUCUA